CACACACUCCUUGGCAGCAAACGUGAGUUUUCAUUGGUUCAAUCUUGUCCAAUGAAAGCCGCCCGAAAACAUCUCACGGACCUUCACCGAGUCUGGCAGUUCUUUCGUCCCGUUUGCAUUGAAUAAUGGUUGGAAUACAUUGAUCCUCGCUAUGACUGCUCAAUAAUUCGAAUUCAGACGUUAGAUAAGAAAGACGGGUACACAAUACAUUUUUCUGACCACACAACCGACUAACGUACACCGGGAUUACAACGCCUGAUGAAAAUACAAUACUCGAGCGGUCUACGGUUCCUUCUUUCUUUCCCCUGGGUUUUCUUCCUUUUGUUUCCUUUUCCUUUGCUUAGCAGAUAUGUAUGCAUUUUUCUUGCUGUAGAAGCAAAGCACCCGUUUCCUCGUGACGCUGAAGCUCUCUGGUUCUACAAAAGACGAAGGUAAUAAAACCUUUAUAGUUCGCAGACGAACAUGUCUGCCCAGGUAAAAUUGUUGUAAUACUGAUAUAACUCCUCAUUGUCGAAUAAAGAAACCCAUGUUCGGCACACGUCACUUCAUGAACUGAUUUCACAUUUCGAUCUUUGCAUCCAUAGAAUCACUCAUAUUCAAUUUGGAACGGAAGUUUGGGAAAGAAUAAAUUGAAUGGAAGGAGUUAAAACCAGCUGUAAUUCCACAUCCCUUACUAGAGGAAGGAUGGUACGAACUGAAAAAUGUUUAUAAUAUAAUAAGCUCAUGAACAAAAGAUAUGAGACUUUUUACAAAGAAUAAUUUCUCAAGAAACCGACUUACUUAGAUGUUUAGAUUAUAUACUUUCUUUUUCUUGCACUUAAAAAUAUGUAAGUAUAUUCCUACGAGACCACAUAUUUUGAAGUUCAGAUUGGAGGAAAUAUGGUGUGCGAGAAUAAAUGAAUGGAACUUAUUCAGUACUUGAGGAAUAAUUGUUGAACUCACAUCAGUUAGCCCAGCUGGACGAACAAUAAAGAUAAACGUAUAGAGAAGCAUUUUAAAUUAGCAAGCAUUUCCACUGUCGAAAGAUUAGGAGUUAGCCUGUUCACACAUACGUAUAGCCCAUUAAAAGGAUGCAAAAAAUUGAGCUAAUAGGCCAAAAAUAAAUAUAAAAAUUCCCAUGCAUAACAAUCAAAUUAAUUAGGAUUCUUGAAAUUAAGAUACCCGAUAACGAAACUAUGGCUGAAUGAUACAAGAAAAAACUCACACACCAUGCAUUCGAUUAGAAUACUCGAACAAUCUUCUCUUAUUAUCUAUACUACACAUCACGCUACGUAGAUAUCAUAUCGAAGGAAUACAACUUUUAUGGAUCAUAACACCACCAAGCUUGGGCGUAGUAGAGUAAUUAAAAGCAUCAAUAAUAUGGCAAGCAAUCAUUCAUCUCGCACACAAAAAGGAAAGAAACAUAGGCCACGGCAUAGGAGAAAAUAUCUUGUAC
RNAcentral lists this long non-coding RNA (1435 nucleotides) under Eucalyptus grandis. RNAcentral's name for it is "long non-coding RNA (EGRA_LNC006044)". The record is from RNAcentral. Lineage: Eukaryota; Viridiplantae; Streptophyta; Magnoliopsida; Myrtales; Myrtaceae.